ACAUCCAGAGAAUUUAGCAGAGAUGCUUUAGUGCCUUCGGGUACUCUGAGACAGGUGCUGCAUGGCUGUCGUCAGCUCGUGUUGUGAAAUGUUGGGUUAAGUCCCGNAACGAGCGCAACCCUUAUCCUUUGUUGCCAGCACGUAAUGGUGGGAACUCAAAGGAGACUGCCGGUGAUAAACCGGAGGAAGGUGGGGAUGACGUCAAGUCAUCAUGGCCCUUACGAGUAGGGCUACACACGUGCUACGAUGGCGCAUACAAAGAGAAGCGACCUCGCGAGAGCAAGCGGACCUCAUAAAGUGCGUCGUAGUCCGGAUUGGAGUCUGCAACUCGACUCCAUGAAGUCGGAAUCGCUAGUAAUCGUAAAUCAGAAUGUUACGGUGAAUACGUUCCCGGGCCUUGUACACACCGCCCGUCACACCAUGGGAGUGGGUUGCAAAAGAAGUAGAUAGCUUAACCUUCGGGAGGGCGUUUACCACUUUGUGAUUCAUGACUGGGGUGAAGUCGUAACAAGGUAAGCGUAGUGCU
Molecule: ribosomal RNA, 526 nt
Filed under: uncultured bacterium
Lineage: Bacteria
Description: bacterial SSU rRNA
Rfam family: Bacterial small subunit ribosomal RNA
Source: RNAcentral